GGGUAGUGUAGUGGUUUGAACACUGGACUAUGACUCUAGAGACCAGGGUUCAAUUCCCAGAUCGUCCA
RNAcentral lists this transfer RNA (68 nucleotides) under Phrynosoma platyrhinos (Desert horned lizard). Its description in RNAcentral is "tRNA-OTHER". The record is from RNAcentral. Lineage: Eukaryota; Metazoa; Chordata; Lepidosauria; Squamata; Phrynosomatidae.